RNAcentral lists this long non-coding RNA (494 nucleotides) under Linum usitatissimum (flax). RNAcentral's name for it is "long non-coding RNA (LUSI_LNC001717)". Lineage: Eukaryota; Viridiplantae; Streptophyta; Magnoliopsida; Malpighiales; Linaceae. The record is from RNAcentral.
UUCAAAUUGUCCAGGUUUCUGAUGAUACGGUCUCACCUGGAGGACUUGGAGAAGGAACCCCCAAGGUGCGCAUUUAUUUCAAGUUUUGAUAUUAUGCAAAUGAGCACUAGGGCGAGGUUUAUAACCCUGAUCUUAUAAUUUUUAUUAUUUCGGUUCAGAGUGAGAGAUCAGAGGAACGUUACUGUGAUGAUAUAUUUGGAGACACCCCUACUACAGUUCGCAAAGUGGUAAGAUUCUAACAAUUUGCCUUGUAAAUCUGUUGGGUUAUUCACAUGCGGUCUAUUUGAGAACACUUGCCAAGGAUUUCCAGUCGUACCUACUAGUCCUUUACGUGAACUCAGUAUUUGUCUCUUAAGAUUCGUGUUAGGGGCUUGCAUGUGUAACCAAAAUUAUUCCUAUGUUAUGUGGGGUUAUAUUUCCGGAGUACAAGUUUUUUGACGGUUAAUAAUUUCUGUUCUUUGUUUUUGGAACAAAUAUUAUUUAUUUCAGCAUAC